RNAcentral lists this ribosomal RNA (468 nucleotides) under uncultured bacterium. RNAcentral describes it as "partial 16S ribosomal RNA". It matches the Rfam family "Bacterial small subunit ribosomal RNA", at positions 28 to 507 of the family's 1533-position model. The record is from RNAcentral.
GACGAACGCUGGCGGCGUGCUUAACACAUGCAAGUCGAACGGAAAGGCCCUGCUUUUGUGGGGUUCUCGAGUGGCGAACGGGUGAGUAACACGUGAGUAACCUGCCCUUGACUGUGGGAUAACUUCAGGAAACUGGGGCUAAUACCGGAUAGGAGCUCCUGCUGCAUGGGGGGGGUUGGAAAGUUUCGGCGGUUGGGGAUGGACUCGCGGCUUAUCAGUUUGUUGGGGGGGUAGUGGCUUACCAAGGCUUUGACGGGUAGCCGGCCUGAGAGGGUGACCGGCCACUUUGGGCCUGAGAUCCGGCCCAGACUCCUCCGGGAGGAAGCAGUGGGGAAUAUUGCACAAUGGGCGGAAGCCUGAUGAAGCAACGCCGCGUGCGGGAUGACGGCCUUCGGGUUGUAACCCGCUUUCGCCUGUGACGAAGCGUGAGUGACGGUAAUGGGUAAAGAAGCACCGGCUAACUACGUG